This 452-nucleotide small RNA is filed under the name Arabidopsis thaliana (thale cress). Its description in RNAcentral is "ATSL118960". Lineage: Eukaryota; Viridiplantae; Streptophyta; Magnoliopsida; Brassicales; Brassicaceae. The record is from RNAcentral.
AAUUUAUGUGGAUUCAGCAGCUCGAGCCAGCCACCACAACUGUGGUUUGUACCUAAUUCUACUGAAUAAUCACAGUAAAUGGGAAGAUCUCGAAAGCUGGUUGACAUUGGUUUUGAGUGUAGGUCUUUGCAUACUUAAUCAAUGAGAGCAUCUCCAUUGGGAGUAUUUCAAUGAGAUACCUAAUAAAAAAAAUAAUAAUUAAAAAAAAAAAAGUAAGAGAGAAGAAAGAAAAAGUAAGAGAGAAGGAGAAUUGAAUUUCUCGCAGGAGAAACUUUGAGAAACUAUUCUCAUCUAAAUUGGACAGCUGUCAUCGUAUUAUUAGUUCAAGUAUUAAAUAAUAAUUAAUAUUUCUGUUUUGAUUAAAAUAUAUAUAUAUAUAUAUUUUUUUUGAAAAACUUUCCUUACUUUUACUGAUGGAGAUGCUCUGAGUAGUAGUAUAUUUUAAAGAAUAU